Molecule: ribosomal RNA, 484 nt
Filed under: uncultured bacterium
Lineage: Bacteria
Description: partial 16S ribosomal RNA
Rfam family: Bacterial small subunit ribosomal RNA
Source: RNAcentral
AUUGAACGCUGGCGGCAGGCCUAACACAUGCCAGUCGAGCGGAUGAAGGGAGCUUGCUCCUGGAUUCAGCGGCGGACGGAUGAGUAAUGCCUAGGAAUCUGCCUGGUAGUGGGGGAUAACGUCCGGAAACGGGCGCUAAUACCGCAUACGUCCUGAGGGAGAAAGUGGGGGAUCUUCGGACCUCACGCUAUCAGAUGAGCCUAGGUCGGAUUAGCUAGUUGGUGGGGUAAAGGCCUACCAAGGCGACGAUCCGGAACUGGUCUGAGAGGAUGAUCAGUCAAACUAGAACUGAAACACGGUCCAGACUCCUACAGGAGGCAGCAGUGGGGAAUAUUGGACCAUGGGCGAAAGCCUGAUCCAGCCAUGCCGCGUGUGUGAAGAAGGUCUUCUGAUUGUAAAGCACUUUAAGUUGGGAGGAAGGGCAGUAGGUUAAUACCUUGCUGUUUUGACGUUACCAACAGAAUAAGCACCGGCUAACUUCGUG